Molecule: long non-coding RNA, 482 nt
Organism: Triticum aestivum (bread wheat)
Lineage: Eukaryota; Viridiplantae; Streptophyta; Magnoliopsida; Poales; Poaceae
Exons: 3
Source: RefSeq, a predicted model, not a curated record
GAUUACUACUUCCUUGGAUGUUUUCAGGUUAUUGUUUCCUUGCUCCCCUUUGCCGGCAAGCAUUCUCAUCUUCUGGUCACUUGCGUAAGAUACAACAUGCUAAUGCUAUCUUGGUUUGGUUUGCUCUUGCAGAAAAUAAGUGAAAUGUGCAGACCGACAACAUGGACGGCAGGUCUUGCGGCUCCCAGCGCCCUCAACCCCCCACUGACCCUCUCUCAAUUUUGAUCUCUCCUCUACUCUUCUGGGUGGCGGUGAGAGCGGGUGUGAAACGGGAGAGGCGGCCAUAGGAGGUAUAUGAUAGGAAAAGAAUUGCUCUAUGGCAGUGCUUUGACUCGGUGACCAGAGACUGACUGGGUGUGCUUGCAGUUUGAGGUUGAUUUUUUCUGGUAUACAUAUAAUUGGAGGUAGGCGCCAUGGACGCCGCUCUUGUGCUCAUCAAGGUCCGCUGCUCCUUGUUCCAGUCCCAUGACAAGCAGCAGCAG